This 283-nucleotide unclassified non-coding RNA is filed under the name Hevea brasiliensis (rubber tree). The record is from RNAcentral. Lineage: Eukaryota; Viridiplantae; Streptophyta; Magnoliopsida; Malpighiales; Euphorbiaceae.
AAAGGGUGGAUUCCAAAAUCCUUCAAAUUCUUCAAACUUUUUGAUUAAUUUGACUUUAAAAUUUAAAUGCUUUGUGGGUUUUCAAGAAUGAGGAUCCAUUGUUGUAUUGAUGGGAAAUUGUUCAGUUCUUUGCCCCCUUUAAGUCCUAUUUCACUCCCAUCUCCAAAGGAGGUACAUCUUUGGUAUGUGAUACCCAAUGAGGUAAAGGGUGAAUCCGUUAUGAACAAAUAUAUGGAGAUUCUAUCCCCAUGUGAGAUUGAAAAAGUUUUGAGUUUUCAAAGAG